RNAcentral lists this long non-coding RNA (429 nucleotides) under Zea mays. RNAcentral's name for it is "long non-coding RNA NONZMAT001107". The record is from RNAcentral. Lineage: Eukaryota; Viridiplantae; Streptophyta; Magnoliopsida; Poales; Poaceae.
UGUGCAUCUGCGGUGUGGGCCCGGACCAGUUAGAGGGUCUUCUUCUUUCCCCGCACGACUCGCUCGCCCGCACACCGGCCACGGGGGAAUCCGGGGGUGGUUGUGCUAGUCAUGCAUACCGGACCUCCCCUUGCCCCUCCGAUUCGCUCCACGCCAGCACCUAGGAACUUGGGCCAGAGCUUGGUGUUCCGCUAUUCGCAACCGCAAAGGAGAGCUUGAAGACACCACCGCACCCGUAUUUGGUCUGUGGUGCCGUUCGGCUCCCCGGAUGUGGGUAGAGCGCAUCGUUUGCGAGUGAGGGACCUGGACAGGGCGACUCCAGGGGCGGUGAACCGGUGAGUCUCUGUUAAUUGCUCGCUGACGACACAUCGCCACCGCGGGUCUGCGCUACACCGUGGAUAGGGCCUCGCAUCGCGUGAUUCAUGGUAA